CACGUAGGCACCAAGCGUUGUCCGGAUUUAUUGGGCGUAAAGAGCUCGUAGGCGGUUCAGUAAGUCGGGUGUGAAAACUCUGGGCUCAACCCAGAGAUGCCACCCGAUACUGCUGUGACUUGAGUACGGUAGGGGAGCAGGGAAUUCCUGGUGUAGCGGUGAAAUGCGCAGAUAUCAGGAGGAACACCGGUGGCGAAGGCGCUGCUCUGGGCCACUACUGACGCUGAGAAGCGAAAGCAUGGGGAGCGAACAGG
This 254-nucleotide ribosomal RNA is filed under the name uncultured bacterium. RNAcentral describes it as "partial 16S ribosomal RNA". It matches the Rfam family "Bacterial small subunit ribosomal RNA", at positions 524 to 776 of the family's 1533-position model. The record is from RNAcentral.